The sequence is a regulatory RNA element, 106 nucleotides long. It matches the Rfam family "SAH (S-adenosyl-L-homocysteine) riboswitch aptamer". The record is from Rfam.
ACCUUCAAGGAGCGUUGCAAGGAUUGCUGAGACCCAGCACUUCCCCAGGCUUGAAGGGAGUGGGCUCCUAAACGGAGUUUGCUAAUUGCAACCGCGCUCGCUAACC